This 328-nucleotide ribosomal RNA is filed under the name uncultured eukaryote. RNAcentral describes it as "partial 18S ribosomal RNA". It matches the Rfam family "Eukaryotic small subunit ribosomal RNA", at positions 1470 to 1796 of the family's 1831-position model. The record is from RNAcentral.
CCCUUAGAUGUCCGGGGCUGCACGCGCGCUACACUGAAGGAAUCAGCGUGCUAAAACCAUUGUCGAAAGGCAUUGGUAAACCCAUUAAAAUCCUACGUGAUUGGGAUCGGGAAUUGCAAUUAUUUCCCUUGAACGAGGAAUUCCCAGUAAGUGUGGGUCAUAAGCUCGCGUUGAUUACGUCCCUGCCCUUUGUACACACCACCCGUCGCUGCCCGGGACUGAGCCGUUUCGAGAAAAGCGGGGACUGCUGCUGUCGGGGCUUUCGGGCCUUGGCUUCGGUGGAAACCGCUUUAAUCGCAGUGGCUUGAACCGGGCAAAAGUCGUAACA